GGUUGACCUCGGAUCAGGUAGGAAUACCCGCUGAACUUAAGCAUAUCAAUAGG
RNAcentral lists this ribosomal RNA (53 nucleotides) under Waltergamsia fusidioides. RNAcentral describes it as "Acremonium fusidioides partial 28S ribosomal RNA". Lineage: Eukaryota; Fungi; Ascomycota; Sordariomycetes; Hypocreales; Bionectriaceae. The record is from RNAcentral.